GGCGUGAUGACGGAGUGGUUAUCGUGCAAGUUGGUGUUUGCUGCUCCUUUGUAAACUGAAUGCGAACUAAUGAACGAAAGGCCUGCUAAGCUUGUUCCUUCGGGAGCGCAAGUUCGAAUCUUGCUCACGUCG
Cenococcum geophilum 1.58 is the source of this 132-nucleotide non-coding RNA. The record is from the annotation of a GenBank genome assembly. Lineage: Eukaryota; Fungi; Ascomycota; Dothideomycetes; Gloniales; Gloniaceae.